UACGGAGGAUGCAAGCGUUAUCCGGAUUUAUUGGGUUUAAAGGGUACGUAGGCGGACCUAUAAGUCAGAGGUGAAAUUUUGUAGCUUAACUAUAAAACUGCCUUUGAUACUGUAGAUCUUGAAUUUAGUUGAGGUAGGCGGAAUAUGUAAUGUAGCGGUGAAAUGCUUAGAUAUUACAUAGAACACCGAUUGCGAAGGCAGCUUACUAAACUAACAUUGACGCUGAGGUACGAAAGCGUGGGGAGCGAACAGG
This 253-nucleotide ribosomal RNA is filed under the name uncultured bacterium. RNAcentral's name for it is "partial 16S ribosomal RNA". It matches the Rfam family "Bacterial small subunit ribosomal RNA", at positions 524 to 776 of the family's 1533-position model. The record is from RNAcentral.